RNAcentral lists this ribosomal RNA (246 nucleotides) under uncultured bacterium. Its description in RNAcentral is "partial 16S ribosomal RNA". It matches the Rfam family "Bacterial small subunit ribosomal RNA", at positions 524 to 770 of the family's 1533-position model. The record is from RNAcentral.
UACGAAGGGGGCUAGCGUUGCUCGGAAUCACUGGGCGUAAAGGGUGCGUAGGCGGGUCUUUAAGUCAGGGGUGAAAUCCUGGAGCUCAACUCCAGAACUGCCUUUGAUACUGAGGAUCUUGAGUACGGGAGAGGUGAGUGGAACUGCGAGUGUAGAGGUGAAAUUCGUAGAUAUUCGCAAGAACACCAGUGGCGAAGGCGGCUCACUGGCCCGAUACUGACGCUGAGGCACGAAAGCGUGGGAGCA